RNAcentral lists this ribosomal RNA (450 nucleotides) under uncultured bacterium. RNAcentral's name for it is "partial 16S ribosomal RNA". It matches the Rfam family "Bacterial small subunit ribosomal RNA", at positions 354 to 796 of the family's 1533-position model. The record is from RNAcentral.
GUGGGGAAUAUUGGACAAUGGGCGAAAGCCUGAUCCAGCCAUACCGCGUGUGUGAAGAAGGUCUUCGGAUUGUAAAGCACUUUAAGUUGGGAGGAAGGGCAGUAAGUGAAUACCUUGCUGUUUUGACGUUACUGACAGAAUAAGAACCGGCUAACUUCGUGCUAGCAGCCGCGGUAAUACGAAGGGUGCAAGCGUUAAUCGGAAUUACUGGGCGUAAAGAGCGCGUAGGUGGUUUUGUAAGUUGGAGGUGAAAUCCCCGGGCUCAACCUGGGAACUGCCUACAAAGAUGCAUGACUAGAGUACGGUAGAGGGUAGUGGAAUUUCCUGUGUAGCGGUGAAAUGCGUAGAUAUAGGAAGGAAAACCAGUGGCGAGGGCGACUACCUGGACUGAUACUGACACUGAGGUGCGAAAGCGUGGGGAGCAAACAGGAUUAGAUACCCGAGUAGUCC